RNAcentral lists this ribosomal RNA (253 nucleotides) under uncultured bacterium. RNAcentral's name for it is "partial 16S ribosomal RNA". It matches the Rfam family "Bacterial small subunit ribosomal RNA", at positions 524 to 776 of the family's 1533-position model. The record is from RNAcentral.
UACGUAGGUGGCAAGCGUUGUCCGGAAUUAUUGGGCGUAAAGCGCGCGCAGGUGGUUCCUUAAGUCUGAUGUGAAAGCCCCCGGCUCAACCGGGGAGGGUCAUUGGAAACUGGGGAACUUGAGUGCAGAAGAGGAAAGUGGAAUUCCACGUGUAGCGGUGAAAUGCGUAGAGAUGUGGAGGAACACCAGUGGCGAAGGCGACUUUCUGGUCUGUAACUGACACUGAGGCGCGAAAGCGUGGGGAGCGAACAGG